CCCCCAGUAACUGCGAGUGAAGAGGGAAGAGCUCAUCAUUGGAAUCUGGCAGCGUUGCGCUGUCCGAGUUGUAGAUGAGAAGAGUAGGUCAUCUGGACUGCGUGGUGUCCAAGUACAAUAGGCCGUCAGUGGGACAUCAUAGAGGGUGACAAUCCCGUCCUUGACAACCAACGUACGAGUCCAUUACGAUGCCUAUCUCAGAGAGUCGAGCAGUUUGGGAUUUGCUGCUUAAACAUGGGAGGUAGAUUCCUUCUAAAGCUAAAUACAGGCAAGAGACCGAUAGAGAACAAGUACCGCAAGGGAAAGAUGAAAUAGAACUCUGUGAAGGGAGUCAAAAAGACGUGAAAUUGUUGCGAGAGAAGCGAUUCAAGUCAGCGUAGCUAGGCCCAUCAAGCUUCUUGCUUUGGACUAGCUUUGCCAGCGGUCUUGUCCUUUUAGAGACUUGACUUUUGACGUGCCCUGUCCGGUCUAACGGGCAGGCCCUUCGGGGCCAGUGGCAUGGCUGGUGGAAUGGCUUGCAAUCGACCCGUCUUGAAACACGGACCAAGGAGUCUAACAUGUGUGCGAGUAUAAGGGUGGCAAACCCGUAUGCGCAAAGAAAGUGAUAGCCUUUUUAUGGCUGAGAAUGGCCUGAUGACCAGACAAGCAAUAUUAUGUUCCUCGUACGGUCAUUGCCCAAGUCCCGUGGUCAGAUCCCAUGGACAUGGAGUUAGAGCAUACAUGCUAGGACCCGAAAGAUGGUGAACUAUGCCUGGACAAAGCGAAGCCAAAGGAAACUCUGGUGGAGGCUUGUAGCGAUUCUGACGUGCAAAUCGAUCGUCUGAUCUGGGUAUAGGGGCGAAAGACUAAUCGAACCAUCUCAUAGCUGGUUC
This 872-nucleotide ribosomal RNA is filed under the name Cantharellus chrysanthus. RNAcentral describes it as "Cantharellus sp. MZ-2022a partial large subunit ribosomal RNA". It matches the Rfam family "Eukaryotic large subunit ribosomal RNA", at positions 77 to 957 of the family's 3401-position model. The record is from RNAcentral. Lineage: Eukaryota; Fungi; Basidiomycota; Agaricomycetes; Cantharellales; Hydnaceae.